CGUGAGUAACCUGCCUCUAAGAGGGAAUAACAUUCUGAAAAGAAUGCUAAUACCGCAUAACAUAUAUUUAUCGCAUGGUAGAUAUAUCAAAGAUUUAUCGCUUAGAGAUGGACUCGCGUCCGAUUAGUUAGUUGGUGAGGUAACGGCUCACCAAGACUGCGAUCGGUAGCCGGACUGAGAGGUUGAACGGCCACAUUGGGACUGAGACACGGCCCAG
RNAcentral lists this ribosomal RNA (217 nucleotides) under uncultured bacterium. RNAcentral describes it as "partial 16S ribosomal RNA". It matches the Rfam family "Bacterial small subunit ribosomal RNA", at positions 116 to 334 of the family's 1533-position model. The record is from RNAcentral.